Hyla sarda is the source of this 408-nucleotide long non-coding RNA. RefSeq lists it as uncharacterized. NCBI's taxonomy places the organism in Eukaryota, Metazoa, Chordata, Amphibia, Anura, Hylidae. The transcript is spliced from 3 exons. The record is from RefSeq and is a predicted model, not a curated record.
AGAGUCUAGAAGAUGCGGCGCGAGUCAAUUGUUUGGGAUCAGACGUUGGUCGAGUUCCAGUAUGGAAACCUCGUGGAGAGCACUUCAGUCCUGCCUUUUCUGUGGAGCGACACACGGCCCCAACCGCUGGUGUGAUUACCUGAUCAGCCAUCUCAUUCAGGGUGCUAUCGCUUACAACAUAUUUCAGGGUCAUAACAACCACUUCAUCAGAGACGGAGCUUGGACUGAACCUCAACAUGUAUAUAUGUUUAGAUUGAGGGAAGAUAUAGUUGUGCUCCGCACUGCUGGUGUAGAGUAACAAAACCCCCUCUUGUACCGUACUCGGGCCAGUCCUCUGGCACGAUUCAUUACUGGACUCCAGGUGGUGCUAUCCUGAGUGCACAUAACGCAGUGUGAAUAUGUCCAAGA